RNAcentral lists this non-coding RNA (30 nucleotides) under Rattus norvegicus (Norway rat). The record is from RNAcentral. Lineage: Eukaryota; Metazoa; Chordata; Mammalia; Rodentia; Muridae.
UUUGACCACAGCUCUUUCUGAUCUCUGAAU